Molecule: non-coding RNA, 106 nt
Organism: Acanthosepion pharaonis
Lineage: Eukaryota; Metazoa; Mollusca; Cephalopoda; Sepiida; Sepiidae
Source: the annotation of a GenBank genome assembly
UUAUGGCCAUAUCACAUUAAAAUACCAGUUCCCAUAUGAUCACUGAUGUUAAGCAAUGUCGAGCCUGGCUAGUACCUAGAUGGGUGACCACUUGGGAAUAGCAGGU